RNAcentral lists this small nuclear RNA (21 nucleotides) under Arabidopsis thaliana (thale cress). Its description in RNAcentral is "snRNA_07287". The record is from RNAcentral. Lineage: Eukaryota; Viridiplantae; Streptophyta; Magnoliopsida; Brassicales; Brassicaceae.
CGUUUUCACGAUAAAAAUCAU